This 40-nucleotide ribosomal RNA is filed under the name Arion subfuscus. RNAcentral's name for it is "partial 5.8S ribosomal RNA". Lineage: Eukaryota; Metazoa; Mollusca; Gastropoda; Stylommatophora; Arionidae. The record is from RNAcentral.
UAACUUUGUGCGGUGGAUCACUCGGCUCUGCGUCGAUGAA